RNAcentral lists this ribosomal RNA (472 nucleotides) under uncultured bacterium. RNAcentral's name for it is "bacterial SSU rRNA". It matches the Rfam family "Bacterial small subunit ribosomal RNA", at positions 355 to 825 of the family's 1533-position model. The record is from RNAcentral.
UGGGGAAUAUUGGACAAUGGGCGAAAGCCUGAUCCAGCCAUGCCGCGUGUGUGAAGAAGGUCUUCGGAUUGUAAAGCACUUUAAGUUGGGAGGAAGGGCAGUUACCUAAUACGUGAUUGUUUUGACGUUACCGACAGAAUAAGCACCGGCUAACUCUGUGCCAGCAGCCGCGGUAAUACAGAGGGUGCAAGCGUUAAUCGGAAUUACUGGGCGUAAAGCGCGCGUAGGUGGUUAGUUAAGUUGGAUGUGAAAUCCCCGGGCUCAACCUGGGAACUGCAUUCAAAACUGACUGACUAGAGUAUGGUAGAGGGUGGUGGAAUUUCCUGUGUAGCGGUGAAAUGCGUAGAUAUAGGAAGGAACACCAGUGGCGAAGGCGACCACCUGGACUAAUACUGACACUGAGGUGCGAAAGCGUGGGGAGCAAACAGGAUUAGAUACCCCCGUAGUCCCUGAGCGGGCUGGCAAGGCGCAU